GGUGAGAUGGCCGAGCGGUCUAAGGCGCCAGACUAAGGUAGAGCGACGGAAUCUCCUACGGUGUUAUCUGGUCUCUUCGGGGGCGGGAGUUCGAAUCUCCCUCUCAUCA
Arthromyces matolae is the source of this 109-nucleotide non-coding RNA. Lineage: Eukaryota; Fungi; Basidiomycota; Agaricomycetes; Agaricales; Lyophyllaceae. The record is from the annotation of a GenBank genome assembly.